RNAcentral lists this ribosomal RNA (235 nucleotides) under uncultured bacterium. RNAcentral's name for it is "partial 16S ribosomal RNA". It matches the Rfam family "Bacterial small subunit ribosomal RNA", at positions 96 to 334 of the family's 1533-position model. The record is from RNAcentral.
UGGCGGACGGGUGAGUAAUGUCUGGGAAACUGCCCGAUGGAGGGGGGUAACUACUGGAAACGGUAGCUAAUACCGCAUAACGUCGCAAGACCAAAGAGGGGGACCUUCGGGCCUCUUGCCAUCGGAUGUGCCCAGAUGGGAUUAGCUAGUAGGUGGGGUAACGGCUUACCUAGGCGACGAUCCCUAGCUGGUCUGAGAGGAUGAUCAGCCACACUGGGACUGAGACACGGCCCAG